This 253-nucleotide ribosomal RNA is filed under the name uncultured bacterium. Its description in RNAcentral is "partial 16S ribosomal RNA". It matches the Rfam family "Bacterial small subunit ribosomal RNA", at positions 524 to 776 of the family's 1533-position model. The record is from RNAcentral.
UACGUAGGAGGCGAGCGUUGUCCGGAGUUACUGGGCGUAAAGCGUGCGCAGGCGGUUUUGUAAGUCUGUCGUGAAAGCCCCGGGCUCAACCUGGGAAUUGCGAUGGAGACUGCAAGGCUUGAAUCUGGCAGAGGGGGGUAGAAUUCCACGUGUAGCAGUGAAAUGCGUAGAGAUGUGGAGGAACACCGAUGGCGAAGGCAGCCCCCUGGGUCAAGAUUGACGCUCAUGCACGAAAGCGUGGGGAGCAAACAGG